UCUAGGUUGAUUCACAAGGAGUCUUAAAAUGUUCUAUUGAUCAUGGACAGACCGCUGUGUGUGUGUGUGUACGUAGACUGGUUCUGAGCCUCUGCACUAUACAGUCACGAGACCAGAGAGGGAGGGGCUAGGUCUGAUGCCAUACAGUCACGAGACCAGAGAGGGUCAGGGCUAGGUCUGAUGCUAUACAGUUACGAGACCAGAGAGGGUCAGGGCUAGGUCUGAUGCCAUACAGUCACGAGACCAGAGAGGGUCAGGGAUAGGUCUGAUGCUAUACAGUCACGAGACCAGAGAGAGUCAGGGCUAGGUCUGAUGCCAUACAGUCACGAGACCAGAGAGGGUCAGGGAUAGGUCUGAUGCUAUACAGUCACGAGACCAGAGAGGGUCAGGGCUAGGUCUGAUGCUAUACAGUCACGAGACCAGAGAGGGGAGGGGCUAGGUCUGAUGGUAUACAGUCACGAGACCAGAGAGGGAGGGGCUAGGUCUGAUGCUAUACAGUCACGAGACCAGAGAGGGUCAGGGCUAGGUCUGAUGGUAUACAGUCACGAGACCAGAGAGGGAGGGGCUAGGUCUGAUGCUAUACAGUCACGAGACCAGAGAGGGUCAGGACUAGGUCUGAUGCUAUACAGUCACGAGACCAGAGAGGGUCAGGACUAGGUCUGAUGCCAUACAGUCACGAGACCAGAGAGGGAGGGGCUAGUACUGUAUGGAGGAGGAGGGGUCAGAGAGAGGGAGGGGCUAGUACUGUAUGGAGGAGCUAGUACUGUAUGGAGGAGUAGGGGUCAGAGAGGGGAGGGGCUAGUACUGUAUGGAGGAGGAGGGGUCAGAGAGAGGGAGGGGCUCGUACUGUAUGGAGGAGGAGGGGUCAGAGAGAGGGAGGGGCUAGUACUGUAUGGAGGAGCUAGUACUGUAUGGAGGAGGAGGGGUCAGAGAGAGGGAGGGGCUAGUACUGUAUGGAGGAG
This is a long non-coding RNA of Oncorhynchus keta (chum salmon), 962 nucleotides long. RefSeq lists it as uncharacterized. The record is from RefSeq and is a predicted model, not a curated record. The transcript is spliced from 5 exons. Lineage: Eukaryota; Metazoa; Chordata; Actinopteri; Salmoniformes; Salmonidae.